Molecule: ribosomal RNA, 484 nt
Filed under: uncultured bacterium
Lineage: Bacteria
Description: partial 16S ribosomal RNA
Rfam family: Bacterial small subunit ribosomal RNA
Source: RNAcentral
AUUGAACGCUGGCGGCAUGCUUUACACAUGCAAGUCGAACGGCAGCACGGGCUUCGGCCUGGUGGCGCGUGGCGAACGGGUGAGUAAUAUAUCGGAACGUACCCAGUAGUGGGGGAUAACGUAGCGAAAGUUACGCUAAUACCGCAUACGAUCUAUGGAUGAAAGCAGGGGACCGCAAGGCCUUGUGCUCCUGGAGCGGCCGAUAUCUGAUUAGCUAGUUGGUGAGGUAAAGGCUCACCAAGGCGACGAUCAGUAGCUGGUCUGAGAGGACGACCAGCCACACUGGAACUGAGACACGGUCCAGACUCCUACGGGAGGCAGCAGUGGGGAAUUUUGGACAAUGGGCGCAAGCCUGAUCCAGCAAUGCCGCGUGAGUGAAGAAGGCCUUCGGGUUGUAAAGCUCUUUUGUCAGGGAAGAAACGGUAGAGGCUAAUAUCCUUUGCUAAUGACGGUACCUGAAGAAUAAGCACCGGCUAACUACGUG